Molecule: ribosomal RNA, 2719 nt
Filed under: Shigella flexneri
Lineage: Bacteria; Pseudomonadati; Pseudomonadota; Gammaproteobacteria; Enterobacterales; Enterobacteriaceae
Description: partial 23S ribosomal RNA
Rfam family: Bacterial large subunit ribosomal RNA
Source: RNAcentral
CAUCUAAGUACCCCGAGGAAAAGAAAUCAACCGAGAUUCCCCCAGUAGCGGCGAGCGAACGGGGAGCAGCCCAGAGCCUGAAUCAGUGUGUGUGUUAGUGGAAGCGUCUGGAAAGGCGUGCGAUACAGGGUGACAGCCCCGUACACAAAAAUGCACAUACUGUGAGCUCGAUGAGUAGGGCGGGACACGUGGUAUCCUGUCUGAAUAUGGGGGGACCAUCCUCCAAGGCUAAAUACUCCUGACUGACCGAUAGUGAACCAGUACCGUGAGGGAAAGGCGAAAAGAACCCCGGCGAGGGGAGUGAAAAAGAACCUGAAACCGUGUACGUACAAGCAGUGGGAGCACGCUUAGGCGUGUGACUGCGUACCUUUUGUAUAAUGGGUCAGCGACUUAUAUUCUGUAGCAAGGUUAACCGAAUAGGGGAGCCGAAGGGAAACCGAGUCUUAACUGGGCGUUAAGUUGCAGGGUAUAGACCCGAAACCCGGUGAUCUAGCCAUGGGCAGGUUGAAGGUUGGGUAACACUAACUGGAGGACCGAACCGACUAAUGUUGAAAAAUUAGCGGAUGACUUGUGGCUGGGGGUGAAAGGCCAAUCAAACCGGGAGAUAGCUGGUUCUCCCCGAAAGCUAUUUAGGUAGCGCCUCGUGAAUUCAUCUCCGGGGGUAGAGCACUGUUUCGGCAAGGGGGUCAUCCCGACUUACCAACCCGAUGCAAACUGCGAAUACCGGAGAAUGUUAUCACGGGAGACACACGGCGGGUGCUAACGUCCGUCGUGAAGAGGGAAACAACCCAGACCGCCAGCUAAGGUCCCAAAGUCAUGGUUAAGUGGGAAACGAUGUGGGAAGGCCCAGACAGCCAGGAUGUUGGCUUAGAAGCAGCCAUCAUUUAAAGAAAGCGUAAUAGCUCACUGGUCGAGUCGGCCUGCGCGGAAGAUGUAACGGGGCUAAACCAUGCACCGAAGCUGCGGCAGCGACGCUUAUGCGUUGUUGGGUAGGGGAGCGUUCUGUAAGCCUGUGAAGGUGUGCUGUGAGGUAUGCUGGAGGUAUCAGAAGUGCGAAUGCUGACAUAAGUAACGAUAAAGCGGGUGAAAAGCCCGCUCGCCGGAAGACCAAGGGUUCCUGUCCAACGUUAAUCGGGGCAGGGUGAGUCGACCCCUAAGGCGAGGCCGAAAGGCGUAGUCGAUGGGAAACAGGUUAAUAUUCCUGUACUUGGUGUUACUGCGAAGGGGGGACGGAGAAGGCUAUGUUGGCCGGGCGACGGUUGUCCCGGUUUAAGCGUGUAGGCUGGUUUUCCAGGCAAAUCCGGAAAAUCAAGGCCGAGGCGUGAUGACGAGGCACUACGGUGCUGAAGCAACAAAUGCCCUGCUUCCAGGAAAAGCCUCUAAGCAUCAGGUAACAUCAAAUCGUACCCCAAACCGACACAGGUGGUCAGGUAGAGAAUACCAAGGCGCUUGAGAGAACUCGGGUGAAGGAACUAGGCAAAAUGGUGCCGUAACUUCGGGAGAAGGCACGCUGAUACGUAGGUGAAGCGACUUGCUCGUGGAGCUGAAAUCAGUCGAAGAUACCAGCUGGCUGCAACUGUUUAUUAAAAACACAGCACUGUGCAAACACGAAAGUGGACGUAUACGGUGUGACGCCUGCCCGGUGCCGGAAGGUUAAUUGAUGGGGUUAGCGCAAGCGAAGCUCUUGAUCGAAGCCCCGGUAAACGGCGGCCGUAACUAUAACGGUCCUAAGGUAGCGAAAUUCCUUGUCGGGUAAGUUCCGACCUGCACGAAUGGCGUAAUGAUGGCCAGGCUGUCUCCACCCGAGACUCAGUGAAAUUGAACUCGCUGUGAAGAUGCAGUGUACCCGCGGCAAGACGGAAAGACCCCGUGAACCUUUACUAUAGCUUGACACUGAACAUUGAGCCUUGAUGUGUAGGAUAGGUGGGAGGCUUUGAAGUGUGGACGCCAGUCUGCAUGGAGCCGACCUUGAAAUACCACCCUUUAAUGUUUGAUGUUCUAACGUGGACCCGUGAUCCGGGUUGCGGACAGUGUCUGGUGGGUAGUUUGACUGGGGCGGUCUCCUCCUAAAGAGUAACGGAGGAGCACGAAGGUUGGCUAAUCCUGGUCGGACAUCAGGAGGUUAGUGCAAUGGCAUAAGCCAGCUUGACUGCGAGCGUGACGGCGCGAGCAGGUGCGAAAGCAGGUCAUAGUGAUCCGGUGGUUCUGAAUGGAAGGGCCAUCGCUCAACGGAUAAAAGGUACUCCGGGGAUAACAGGCUGAUACCGCCCAAGAGUUCAUAUCGACGGCGGUGUUUGGCACCUCGAUGUCGGCUCAUCACAUCCUGGGGCUGAAGUAGGUCCCAAGGGUAUGGCUGUUCGCCAUUUAAAGUGGUACGCGAGCUGGGUUUAGAACGUCGUGAGACAGUUCGGUCCCUAUCUGCCGUGGGCGCUGGAGAACUGAGGGGGGCUGCUCCUAGUACGAGAGGACCGGAGUGGACGCAUCACUGGUGUUCGGGUUGUCAUGCCAAUGGCACUGCCCGGUAGCUAAAUGCGGAAGAGAUAAGUGCUGAAAGCAUCUAAGCACGAAACUUGCCCCGAGAUGAGUUCUCCCUGACCCUUUAAGGGUCCUGAAGGAACGUUGAAGACGACGACGUUGAUAGGCCGGGUGUGUAAGCGCAGCGAUGCGUUGAGCUAACCGGUACUAAUGAACCGUGAGGCUUAACCUUACAACGCCGAAG